Molecule: ribosomal RNA, 253 nt
Filed under: uncultured bacterium
Lineage: Bacteria
Description: partial 16S ribosomal RNA
Rfam family: Bacterial small subunit ribosomal RNA
Source: RNAcentral
UACAGAGGUGACUAGCGUUGUCCGGAAUUAUUGGGCGUAAAGGGCGCGUAGGUGGUCAGGUAAGUCAGGUGUGAAAGCUCUGGGCUUAACCCAGGAAUUGCAUCUGAUACUGCUUGGCUUGAGUACGGUAGAGGAGGGUGGAAUUCCCAGUGUAGCGGUGAAAUGCGUAGAUAUUGGGAGGAACACCGGUGGCGAAGGCGGCCCUCUGGACCGAAACUGACACUGAAGCGCGAAAGCUAGGGGAGCAAACGGG